This 292-nucleotide ribosomal RNA is filed under the name uncultured Bacteroidota bacterium. RNAcentral's name for it is "uncultured Bacteroidetes bacterium partial 16S ribosomal RNA". Lineage: Bacteria; Pseudomonadati; Bacteroidota. The record is from RNAcentral.
GGACUACCAGGGUAUCUAAUCCUGUUUGAUCCCCACACUUUCGUGCCUCAGCGUCAGUUACAGCCUAGUAAGCUGCCUUCGCUAUCGGUGUUCUUGACGAUAUCUAAGCAUUUCACCGCUACACCGUCAAUUCCGCCUACCUCGUCUGUACUCAAGUCUCACAGUAUCAAUGGCACCUCGACAGUUGAGCUGCCAUAUUUCACCACUGACUUAUGAAACCGCCUACGCACCCUUUAAACCCAAUAAAUCCGGACAACGCUUGCCACCUACGUAUUACCGCGGCGGCUGGCAC